AAGAGAAUUAGUGGUUGGAAGGAAAAAUUACUAUCUACCUGGGGGAAAGAGAUCCUAUUAAAGGUGGUGAUCCAAGCCAUACCUACCUAUGCAAUGUCGGUCUUUAAAAUCCUAAAAAAUAUUGUAAAGGAAUCAUUGACGCGAUGGCACAUUUCUGGUGGGGAGAUGAGGAGAACCAGAAGAGGAUGCAUUGGAUGGCCUGGUGGAAAAUGUGUGUACCAAAAAAACCAAGGAGGAAUGGGAUUCCGUGACAUUCAUUGUUUCAACCUGGCUCUGCUUGCAAAACAAGCAUGGCGUCUCCUUGAUAAUCAUGACUCCUUGUGUGCUACUAUUCUAAGGGCCAAGUACUAUCCUAAUGGUGAU
Molecule: ribosomal RNA, 363 nt
Filed under: Triticum aestivum (bread wheat)
Lineage: Eukaryota; Viridiplantae; Streptophyta; Magnoliopsida; Poales; Poaceae
Description: partial small subunit ribosomal RNA
Source: RNAcentral